This 85-nucleotide transfer RNA is filed under the name Oscillospiraceae bacterium. Its description in RNAcentral is "tRNA-Leu". It matches the Rfam family "tRNA". From Rfam's summary of the family: Transfer RNA (tRNA) molecules are approximately 80 nucleotides in length. Their secondary structure includes four short double-helical elements and three loops (D, anti-codon, and T loops). Further hydrogen bonds mediate the characteristic L-shaped molecular structure. tRNAs have two regions of fundamental functional importance: the anti-codon, which is responsible for specific mRNA codon recognition, and the 3' end, to which the tRNAs corresponding amino acid is attached (by aminoacyl-tRNA synthetases). tRNAs cope with the degeneracy of the genetic code in two manners: having more than one tRNA (with a specific anti-codon) for a particular amino acid; and 'wobble' base-pairing, i.e. permitting non-standard base-pairing at the 3rd anti-codon position. The record is from RNAcentral. Lineage: Bacteria; Bacillati; Bacillota; Clostridia; Eubacteriales; Oscillospiraceae.
GCGGAUGUGAUGGAACUGGCAGACAUGUAAGAUUUAGGUUCUUAUGCCGAAAGGCGUGCAGGUUCAAGUCCUGUCAUCCGCACCA